This 253-nucleotide ribosomal RNA is filed under the name uncultured bacterium. RNAcentral's name for it is "partial 16S ribosomal RNA". It matches the Rfam family "Bacterial small subunit ribosomal RNA", at positions 524 to 776 of the family's 1533-position model. The record is from RNAcentral.
UACGGGGGGGGCAAGCGUUGUUCGGAAUUACUGGGCGUAAAGGGCUCGUAGGUGGCCAACUAAGUCAGACGUGAAAUCCCUCGGCUUAACCGGGGAACUGCGUCUGAUACUGGAUGGCUUGAGUUUGGGAGAGGGAUGCGGAAUUCCAGGUGUAGCGGUGAAAUGCGUAGAGAUUUGGAGGAACACCAGUGGCGAAGGCGACUUUCUGGUCUGUAACUGACACUGAGGCGCGAAAGCGUGGGGAGCGAACAGG